This 70-nucleotide transfer RNA is filed under the name Polypterus delhezi (barred bichir). Its description in RNAcentral is "tRNA-Glu". It matches the Rfam family "tRNA". Rfam says of the family: Transfer RNA (tRNA) molecules are approximately 80 nucleotides in length. Their secondary structure includes four short double-helical elements and three loops (D, anti-codon, and T loops). Further hydrogen bonds mediate the characteristic L-shaped molecular structure. tRNAs have two regions of fundamental functional importance: the anti-codon, which is responsible for specific mRNA codon recognition, and the 3' end, to which the tRNAs corresponding amino acid is attached (by aminoacyl-tRNA synthetases). tRNAs cope with the degeneracy of the genetic code in two manners: having more than one tRNA (with a specific anti-codon) for a particular amino acid; and 'wobble' base-pairing, i.e. permitting non-standard base-pairing at the 3rd anti-codon position. Lineage: Eukaryota; Metazoa; Chordata; Cladistia; Polypteriformes; Polypteridae. The record is from RNAcentral.
GAUUUUUGUAGUUGAGUAACAACGGUGAUUUUUCAAGUCAUUAGCCCUGGUUAGAGUCCUGGCAAGAAUU